GCACACGUGUUUGUGCUUGUGUGUGUGUGUGUGUGUGUGUGUGUGUGUGUGUGCGCGCGCGUGCGCAUGCACGCGC
Molecule: microRNA precursor, 76 nt
Filed under: Notamacropus eugenii (tammar wallaby)
Lineage: Eukaryota; Metazoa; Chordata; Mammalia; Diprotodontia; Macropodidae
Description: miRNA (ENSMEUG00000017399.1)
Source: RNAcentral